Molecule: long non-coding RNA, 1628 nt
Filed under: Marmota monax (woodchuck)
Lineage: Eukaryota; Metazoa; Chordata; Mammalia; Rodentia; Sciuridae
Source: RNAcentral
ACUCCACCAACUUAACUUGUUUCCACCCCAUCUUCAGGUGUACUGUGGAUAUUUCUGGGUUCUACAUGAAGCUGGCUGCACAUUCGUCAUUGGCUGCAACGGGGAGUGUAACACACAGAAACACAGUUCGUCUUGCCGGCUGGCAGCAGCUAAGAAUUUUGCUCUCGCUGGUCCCAGCGUAAGCGGGUAAGGGCGUUGAGCCCCUGGAUGGCGUCAGCAGCGUUCCUGAGUUAUCUCCUGGAGCUGCAGGUCAUCACAACAACAGGCAAGGAGAGGCACCUGCUGUGGUCCCUGGCAGUGGCCACAGGCAACGAUCUGUCCCAGCAGAGACACUCAGCAGCCCCGAGGGAGAGUCGAGUUGUGAAUUUCGUCACUGGCACACUGACAUAAAUCGAGUAGAGCUUGAAUGUCACUAGCUAUUUGCUGGCUCUGGUGGUCUUUCCCAGACACGAGCCUCUGGACUCCAUGACAACAGCUCUGCAGAGUGUCAGAUUUCAAGGUGGGGCUGCCAAGUGACCCCAAGCAACCUGUAGGCAGGUAGCCUCUUGUAACCAGAAAGGGCUGUGUUCACAGCAGAGUGACCCCCAGAAAGAGCAUCCUGGAGCCCGAUUCCUUCACUCUCACUCUGCUGUCUCUUACCCUGUUCAUCCACAUGGUGAUUGAGAGGCACAUGGACAGGACCACAGGGUGUCAACUAUGAUAAUUAAUCCCCCUCCCCCAGGCCUCUGAAUGCACUGACCAAAGGAAAGGAUUCCAAAUAAAACUGGAUGUUUUCAUGAAAUCAACUUUAACUCUGCAGAGAUCACACCCAAUUCUCAAAGGAUCAAAAGCUGUGUGUGGAUUAUUUACUGCUUGGCAAGCAUCUGGCCACCCAAUCACCAGCACUGGGGAAAAUGAUCAAGUGUUCAAAAAUCCUCUGGGAUGAGUCCAGAGGGAUUUUUUUUUUUUUCCCACAAGGAGAUGGAAAGAAAAACAGACACUUUCCCAAAAGAAAGUGUGAGUGUGGGAGGAACAUUUGGUUUCUUAGAAUCAACUCAACAAACAUCAUUGACAGGUCACAGGAAUCUUUGUUCUUAAGUACACUGGAGAUGAGCCAGAGAGUGCGAGCAGGCCAAGCAAUUCAAUCAGAGAUAUGCUAUUUUGCAGGUCUGAGCCCAGAACUCUUGAGCAAGUGGAAUUGAAGGUCUGAUUGACGUUAGCCAGCAGUGUUUAUUGCAAAGAGCCCUGAUAAAUCAGCAGCGACCAGGAGUGGUAAGCAGGUCUGUGCCAUCUGAGCCACAUUGUCCACCCUCUCUGAGCUCUCAUUGUUCAUAUCUAAAAUAAGAAUUUGGACCAUCUAUCCACAGACAUGCAGUAUGUUCUGUAAGGGGAAGGGAGUCUGCUGGUACCUUCGGCUGGAGACCAGAGAUGCUGCAAAGCAUCCUAUGUUGUAUGGAACAUCCCCAUGGAAAGAGAGAGGGAUGGCCUCAAAUUUUAAUCAUGCUGAGGUUGAAAAACCUGAUUUAAACUAUAGUGGAUGACAUUUUCAAUAAGUAAAUUCCAACUUAAACUUCCUUCAGAUAGCUCAGUACAUUUCUUCCAUUUCAGAUCACUUGUUUUUAAAUUGUCCCCAAUUAUUUAUCCUAAAU